CAACAGUUACUGAACCCUAUCAAACUCCGAAUGCCAUAUACUUGUACCCCGGCAGUCAGACUACGAAUGAUAAGAUCCGUGGUCAAAAGGGAAACAGCCCAGACCAUCAGCUAAGGUCCCAAAGUGUAAGUUAAGUGGGAAAGGAUGUGGGAUUUCUAAGACAACUAGGAUGUUGGCUUAGAAGCAGCCACUCAUUUAAAGAGUGCGUAAUAGCUCACUAGUCGAGAGAUCCUGCGCCGAAGAUGUAACGGGGCUCAAACUUACCACCGAAGCUAUGGAUGUGUACUUUGUACACGUGGUAGAGGAGCUUUCUGUACAGGUUGAAGUCAUACCGUAAGGAGUGGUGGACAGUACAGAAGUGAGAAUGCUGGCAUAAGUAGCGAAAAACAAGUGAGAAUCUUGUUGACCGAAUAUCUAAGGUUUCCUGGGGAAGGCUCGUCCUCCCAGGGUUAGUCGGGACCUAAGCCGAGGCCGAAAGGCGUAGGGGAUGGACAACUGGUUGAUAUUCCAGUACCACCAUAAUGCGUUUGACAAAUGGGAUGACGCAGGAGGAUAGGAUGUGCGCACUAUUGGAUGUGCGUCUAAGCACUUA
This 592-nucleotide ribosomal RNA is filed under the name Clostridium botulinum C. Its description in RNAcentral is "partial 23S ribosomal RNA". It matches the Rfam family "Bacterial large subunit ribosomal RNA", at positions 930 to 1522 of the family's 2925-position model. The record is from RNAcentral. Lineage: Bacteria; Bacillati; Bacillota; Clostridia; Eubacteriales; Clostridiaceae.